AAGUCGUAACAAGGUUUCCGUAGGUGAACCUGCGGAAGGAUCAUUAAAUAAUUUGAAUGUGUUCUUUUGAGCAUAUUUCUAAUUUACUGUGAACUGUUUUACUGUUUAGCGUUUUGAGGGAUGCUUAUUGACUAUAGGGAUAGGUCAGUAGGAUGUUAACCUAGCUAAAGUCAGGCUUAGGCCUGGUAUCCCAAUUCAUUUAUUUACCAAAAGAAUUCAGAAUUAAUUAUUGUAACAUAAGCGUAAAAAACUUAUAAAACAACUUUUAACAACGGAUCUCUUGGCUCUC
This 289-nucleotide unclassified non-coding RNA is filed under the name Mucor irregularis. RNAcentral's name for it is "partial internal transcribed spacer region". The stretch from base 1 to 46 matches the Rfam family "Eukaryotic small subunit ribosomal RNA", at positions 1786 to 1831 of the family's 1831-position model. Lineage: Eukaryota; Fungi; Mucoromycota; Mucoromycetes; Mucorales; Mucoraceae. The record is from RNAcentral.